This 775-nucleotide long non-coding RNA is filed under the name Lathyrus oleraceus (garden pea). RNAcentral describes it as "Pisum sativum (pea) long non-coding RNA (PSAT_LNC005023)". Lineage: Eukaryota; Viridiplantae; Streptophyta; Magnoliopsida; Fabales; Fabaceae. The record is from RNAcentral.
UGGACCUAAAGCGGAGGAGUUUGUGUUUAUAUGGUGCGGAGCGGAGUCGGAAUCGUUGCUCAUGGUGGCUGUUUUAUGGUGAUGAAGCUAGUUGUGUUUUGUUUGUCGGAAACGGUUGUAGUGCGUGAGGAUGGUGAAUAAAAAUCUGGUGGUGGAGGUUAUCUUGCAGUGGUUUAGCGGAUGCUAUAGUGUUAGCGUGAGUUGCUCGCCGGAAGCUGCUUAACGGAGGUAGACCGUUGUGUGUGAUGUUGUUGUAGUUUUCAAGAGAGAAAAGAACAUGAAGAUUAUGUGGUGACUUGAAGGAAAUUGGAAGUGCGGAGUGAUAUCUGAAGUGAGAUUUUAUUGAGGGAGUCAAUAGAGGAGGAACGAGUGGUAUACGGCAGGAGCAGGUGGCGAUGAGGGUGGAGGAUCUAAAGUGGUGGCUAGGAGUUGAUGAUGUAGUAAAAUGGUUUCACUAUUUUCUAGAGUCUAAAAGCUGGUGCAUAAAAAAAUAUGAAGGUGAGGUUUUGGGUAGUAAUUGGUGAGAGUGAGAAAAUGAGUUUCUUUUUGCAGAAAAAUCAAAAGAGAGUUUUCUUCAUUGGCGUGUUGUUGAGGAUUUUUUUUUAAGUAAUGAAAAAGUGGAUCUUCUUUUUUAUUCCAAGCGUGAGAGAGGUUCCCAGAGAGUCUUGAAAAAGUGGAUCUUCUUGUUUGGUGACAGAUAUUUUUUAUUUUUUAUUAUUAGUUAAUUUCUAUUUUUUAUUGGAUGAAUGGGAAUGAACAAGGUUUUCAAAUAUUA